AUUGAACGCUGGCGGCAGGCCUAACACAUGCAAGUCGAGCGAGCGGCGGACGGGUGAGUAAUGUCUGGGAAACUGCCUGAUGGAGGGGGAUAACUACUGGAAACGGUAGCUAAUACCGCAUACCAUCAGAUGUGCCCAGAUGGGAUUAGCUAGUAGGUGGGGUAAUGGGACACCUAGGCGACGAUCCCUAGCUGGUCUGAGAGGAUGAACAGCCACACUGGAACUGAGACACGGUCCAGACUCCUACGGGAGGCAGCAGUGGGGAAUAUUGCACAAUGGGCGCAAGCCUGAUGCAGCCAUGCCGCGUGUUUGAAGAAGGCCGUCGGGUUGUAAAGUACUUUCAGCGGGGAGGCGUUACUCGCAGAAGAAGCACCGGCUAACUCCGUGCCAGCAGCCGCGGUAAUAC
This 406-nucleotide ribosomal RNA is filed under the name uncultured bacterium. RNAcentral's name for it is "partial 16S ribosomal RNA". It matches the Rfam family "Bacterial small subunit ribosomal RNA", at positions 30 to 526 of the family's 1533-position model. The record is from RNAcentral.